This 2904-nucleotide ribosomal RNA is filed under the name Escherichia coli. Its description in RNAcentral is "23S ribosomal RNA". It matches the Rfam family "Bacterial large subunit ribosomal RNA". Lineage: Bacteria; Pseudomonadati; Pseudomonadota; Gammaproteobacteria; Enterobacterales; Enterobacteriaceae. The record is from RNAcentral.
GGUUAAGCGACUAAGCGUACACGGUGGAUGCCCUGGCAGUCAGAGGCGAUGAAGGACGUGCUAAUCUGCGAUAAGCGUCGGUAAGGUGAUAUGAACCGUUAUAACCGGCGAUUUCCGAAUGGGGAAACCCAGUGUGAUUCGUCACACUAUCAUUAACUGAAUCCAUAGGUUAAUGAGGCGAACCGGGGGAACUGAAACAUCUAAGUACCCCGAGGAAAAGAAAUCAACCGAGAUUCCCCCAGUAGCGGCGAGCGAACGGGGAGCAGCCCAGAGCCUGAAUCAGUGUGUGUGUUAGUGGAAGCGUCUGGAAAGGCGUGCGAUACAGGGUGACAGCCCCGUACACAAAAAUGCACAUACUGUGAGCUCGAUGAGUAGGGCGGGACACGUGGUAUCCUGUCUGAAUAUGGGGGGACCAUCCUCCAAGGCUAAAUACUCCUGACUGACCGAUAGUGAACCAGUACCGUGAGGGAAAGGCGAAAAGAACCCCGGCGAGGGGAGUGAAAAAGAACCUGAAACCGUGUACGUACAAGCAGUGGGAGCACGCUUAGGCGUGUGACUGCGUACCUUUUGUAUAAUGGGUCAGCGACUUAUAUUCUGUAGCAAGGUUAACCGAAUAGGGGAGCCGAAGGGAAACCGAGUCUUAACUGGGCGUUAAGUUGCAGGGUAUAGACCCGAAACCCGGUGAUCUAGCCAUGGGCAGGUUGAAGGUUGGGUAACACUAACUGGAGGACCGAACCGACUAAUGUUGAAAAAUUAGCGGAUGACUUGUGGCUGGGGGUGAAAGGCCAAUCAAACCGGGAGAUAGCUGGUUCUCCCCGAAAGCUAUUUAGGUAGCGCCUCGUGAAUUCAUCUCCGGGGGUAGAGCACUGUUUCGGCAAGGGGGUCAUCCCGACUUACCAACCCGAUGCAAACUGCGAAUACCGGAGAAUGUUAUCACGGGAGACACACGGCGGGUGCUAACGUCCGUCGUGAAGAGGGAAACAACCCAGACCGCCAGCUAAGGUCCCAAAGUCAUGGUUAAGUGGGAAACGAUGUGGGAAGGCCCAGACAGCCAGGAUGUUGGCUUAGAAGCAGCCAUCAUUUAAAGAAAGCGUAAUAGCUCACUGGUCGAGUCGGCCUGCGCGGAAGAUGUAACGGGGCUAAACCAUGCACCGAAGCUGCGGCAGCGACGCUUAUGCGUUGUUGGGUAGGGGAGCGUUCUGUAAGCCUGCGAAGGUGUGCUGUGAGGCAUGCUGGAGGUAUCAGAAGUGCGAAUGCUGACAUAAGUAACGAUAAAGCGGGUGAAAAGCCCGCUCGCCGGAAGACCAAGGGUUCCUGUCCAACGUUAAUCGGGGCAGGGUGAGUCGACCCCUAAGGCGAGGCCGAAAGGCGUAGUCGAUGGGAAACAGGUUAAUAUUCCUGUACUUGGUGUUACUGCGAAGGGGGGACGGAGAAGGCUAUGUUGGCCGGGCGACGGUUGUCCCGGUUUAAGCGUGUAGGCUGGUUUUCCAGGCAAAUCCGGAAAAUCAAGGCUGAGGCGUGAUGACGAGGCACUACGGUGCUGAAGCAACAAAUGCCCUGCUUCCAGGAAAAGCCUCUAAGCAUCAGGUAACAUCAAAUCGUACCCCAAACCGACACAGGUGGUCAGGUAGAGAAUACCAAGGCGCUUGAGAGAACUCGGGUGAAGGAACUAGGCAAAAUGGUGCCGUAACUUCGGGAGAAGGCACGCUGAUAUGUAGGUGAAGUCCCUCGCGGAUGGAGCUGAAAUCAGUCGAAGAUACCAGCUGGCUGCAACUGUUUAUUAAAAACACAGCACUGUGCAAACACGAAAGUGGACGUAUACGGUGUGACGCCUGCCCGGUGCCGGAAGGUUAAUUGAUGGGGUCAGCGCAAGCGAAGCUCUUGAUCGAAGCCCCGGUAAACGGCGGCCGUAACUAUAACGGUCCUAAGGUAGCGAAAUUCCUUGUCGGGUAAGUUCCGACCUGCACGAAUGGCGUAAUGAUGGCCAGGCUGUCUCCACCCGAGACUCAGUGAAAUUGAACUCGCUGUGAAGAUGCAGUGUACCCGCGGCAAGACGGAAAGACCCCGUGAACCUUUACUAUAGCUUGACACUGAACAUUGAGCCUUGAUGUGUAGGAUAGGUGGGAGGCUUGGAAGUGUGGACGCCAGUCUGCAUGGAGCCGACCUUGAAAUACCACCCUUUAAUGUUUGAUGUUCUAACGUUGACCCGUAAUCCGGGUUGCGGACAGUGUCUGGUGGGUAGUUUGACUGGGGCGGUCUCCUCCUAAAGAGUAACGGAGGAGCACGAAGGUUGGCUAAUCCUGGUCGGACAUCAGGAGGUUAGUGCAAUGGCAUAAGCCAGCUUGACUGCGAGCGUGACGGCGCGAGCAGGUGCGAAAGCAGGUCAUAGUGAUCCGGUGGUUCUGAAUGGAAGGGCCAUCGCUCAACGGAUAAAAGGUACUCCGGGGAUAACAGGCUGAUACCGCCCAAGAGUUCAUAUCGACGGCGGUGUUUGGCACCUCGAUGUCGGCUCAUCACAUCCUGGGGCUGAAGUAGGUCCCAAGGGUAUGGCUGUUCGCCAUUUAAAGUGGUACGCGAGCUGGGUUUAGAACGUCGUGAGACAGUUCGGUCCCUAUCUGCCGUGGGCGCUGGAGAAUUGAGGGGGGCUGCUCCUAGUACGAGAGGACCGGAGUGGACGCAUCACUGGUGUUCGGGUUGUCAUGCCAAUGGCACUGCCCGGUAGCUAAAUGCGGAAGAGAUAAGUGCUGAAAGCAUCUAAGCACGAAACUUGCCCCGAGAUGAGUUCUCCCUGACUCCUUGAGAGUCCUGAAGGAACGUUGAAGACGACGACGUUGAUAGGCCGGAUGUGUAAGCGCAGCGAUGCGUUGAGCUAACCGGUACUAAUGAACCGUGAGGCUUAACCUU